AGUGAACGCUGGCGGUAGGCCUAACACAUGCAAGUCGAACGGCAGCACAGUAAGAGCCUGCUCUUACGGGUGGCGAGUGGCGGACGGGUGAGGAAUACAUCGGAAUCUACUUUUUCGUGGGGGAUAACGUAGGGAAACUUACGCUAAUACCGCAUACGACCUACGGGUGAAAGCAGGGGAUCUUCGGACCUUGCGCGAUUGAAUGAGCCGAUAUCGGAUUAGCUAGUUGGCGGGGUAAAGGCCCACCAAGGCGACGAUCCGUAGCUGGUCUGAGAGGAUGAUCAGCCACACUGGAACUGAGACACGGUCCAGACUCCUACGGGAGGCAGCAGUGGGGAAUAUUGGACAAUGGGCGCAAGCCUGAUCCAGCCAUACCGCGUGGGUGAAGAAGGCCUUCGGGUUGUAAAGCCCUUUUGUUGGGAAAGAAAAGCAGCAGGUUAAUACCCCGCUGUUCUGACGGUACCCAAAGAAUAAGCACCGGCUAACUUCGUG
RNAcentral lists this ribosomal RNA (492 nucleotides) under uncultured bacterium. RNAcentral describes it as "partial 16S ribosomal RNA". It matches the Rfam family "Bacterial small subunit ribosomal RNA", at positions 29 to 507 of the family's 1533-position model. The record is from RNAcentral.